Molecule: non-coding RNA, 624 nt
Organism: Equus caballus (horse)
Lineage: Eukaryota; Metazoa; Chordata; Mammalia; Perissodactyla; Equidae
Source: the annotation of a RefSeq genome assembly
UGACUAAGCUUGCGUAUGCAGAAACCCCAUUUCCGGCUGUGCAGCAACAAGGCCACAGGGCCACCCAGCUCCUCUGACACUACAAAAGCCUGUCAGGUGGCAGGCAGAACAAGAGCCAUUUCACAAGGGAGAAGAGCCCCAAGGAUGCAGCCCAGACGGCUUGCUCUCUUGUGCACAGUCUUGGCCUUCAUCUGCUUUGGUUCUAGCAAUACUCAGAGCGUCUAUCAAGCUGCAAAUGUUAUGUCUGCACAAGUGGGAGAAUCUGUGACCUUGGACUGCAAAAUCACAGUCAGUUAUACUUACUACAAUAUGUACUGGUAUCGACAGCUUUCCAGUGGAGAGAUGACUCACAUCAUUCGACUAUAUUCUGCAAAUAGGAACUCAAGGGAAGGACGAUAUUCUGUGGUGUUUCAGAAACCAACCCUAACGCUCACCAUCUCAGCCUUGACACCUGGAGACUCAGCUGUCUAUUUCUGUGCUGUUGCACAAGCAUCCCACAGUGAGGCUAGUGAUGGGAAGAGCCUUACAAAAACCCCUAGGGCUCAGUACAAGCCAGCUGCUCCUCCAGGAGCAUGGAAGAGAACAACCCACAGGACAGGAAAAGGGUAGACAAAAGGCAUGGUG